Molecule: non-coding RNA, 1456 nt
Organism: Sus scrofa (pig)
Lineage: Eukaryota; Metazoa; Chordata; Mammalia; Artiodactyla; Suidae
Source: RefSeq, a predicted model, not a curated record
AUGGAUGGACGAGCUCCCCUUCGAGCCUGCAGGUUCACCCACAGCCGGGCAAGAGGAAGAGAUAGAGGGCCCUCGCGCUCGGCAGCUUCCAGAGAAGCAGCGGCGGAGGUAGGAUCAGUAGGAGCUCACAUUCACCAUCCUCGUGGGCCAGUCCCCGGGAACGUGGCGCCCAAGUUCACCCGCGGCUCAGGCUCAAAGCACCGAAUCGCAGCCGCAGCAGCUGCCGCCGCCUCCAGCCUGCCCGUCCCCCUCUUCCUGCUCCUUCACCACCCACUCCUCCGCCGCCGCUACUGCCUCUUGCUUCUGCGGGAAGGGCCUCGGCCGCUCCUCGCUCUCUCGCCUCUGCUUCUCCUACCCUCCUCUCGUCGCUCCCCUCCAGAACGUUCAUCCGUGAUCUACAUAACUCCUCCUUCCUGGGGUCUGCCUGGCUCUCAGGCCCUGGGCACCCAAGAACCUGGGCGGCUCCAUCCUUUCAUCUCUCUCACCCUUCUUGGAGCAAUAGAAACAAGUGUGCCCCUCCCCUGGAGACUGGGUGGGGCUCAGGCUGCGGACCCUGGUGUAGGCUGGGGAGCAGCCCAGGCCUGGUCCUGGAGGGCAACUGCCGUCCUCGGUUUGACUGGAUCUGAAAAAUCAAACAUAAAGCAGGAAGAAAAUGCCCACUUUCCAAAGAUAUUCUCUCCGGUGGACACACGUACAAACUGGAACCCAGGAGAGGUAGUCUGGACGUUAACAAAACAUCGGGCCAGAGAGGGUGAGGCCACAGCAAAGAAACGUUCAGGCGGAGCCAGGAGGAAGGGCUGGGGAAGAAAGGAGAGGCAGCUGCCUGAGGAAAGGCGAGUAAGGCAGCUGGCAAGGGCGGGAGGAAGAGGCUGCACGCCGACCGAGCGGGGGAGAGGCUGGCGGGCUGGCGGGAGCGAGGAGAGCUGCAGGCAAGAGGAGGAGGCUUCUGGCAGAGGAACUUCAGAAGGGACUGCCAAAAAGGACUCGAGCCUCAGCAGUGUGAGGCAGUGGACAGGAGUGGCAGCAACCACCAGCCCUUGGCAGGUGAUGGUUUGGCUGAAAGAGAAAGGGGGAAGGGAGACAGCCAGGCAUCUGUUUGGGGGCCAUGCCAAUAAAUGUGCUUCUCCUUGGCAGCCAGCAGAGGGGAAGAGGAACCCACGGGAAAGAAACGCAGGCGAGGCUGAGAAUAAAGGCUGCUCUAGGUCCAGGAUGCCUAUGAUUACACCUCUACACCAUGGCAUCUCUUCGGGUUUUGCAGUCAUGCCCUCUUUGACAUGGUGACCAGGGUCAAACAGAAUAAAAAUCCUGGAAUAUCAGCAACAUAUGAAUAAAUGAAAGUAUAAAUGUGUGUUAGCCAAGAGGAAAAGGGGAUCAUAAUAUAUUUAUAGGUAAUUGACUUAUUACAUUUCCUCAAUAUUAAUAAAUUUUAUUUUAAAAGAAUAGCAUGGGGAGUUCC